Passer domesticus (house sparrow) is the source of this 3535-nucleotide long non-coding RNA. RefSeq lists it as uncharacterized. The record is from RefSeq and is a predicted model, not a curated record. NCBI's taxonomy places the organism in Eukaryota, Metazoa, Chordata, Aves, Passeriformes, Passeridae. The transcript has 5 exons.
CUUGGAUUUACAUCCACGGCAACUGUUAGAGGGCCUGUCCAAAAGCACCAAUACAUGAUCCUACUUAAUGAACACCCUAACACUCACAGAAUCUAGUUUAGGGCCAUGAAGGUGGAACUCAGCACCACCAAAGACAGUGGCAAAACAUUCUGGAUGUUGUAAAAGAGAGUGACUUGAAUGUAAAUGCUGAACAGUUGCAUUAUCUGUGCUCUUUGGUUGCACACUGAAAUGAGAGCAAGGUGAGGCCUCCUCCAGGGUGCCCUGGUGGGCAGCUUUGAGGGAGCUGGCUUUGCACAAUCUUCCUUGACUCCUGUCAUAGCCGCUGCAGGUUGUAACUUCAACAAAGCCCUUCAUUUUGAAUCAAUGUAUACAACAAUGACCUUCAUUAUCCUUCAUCUCUGGAUAGAAAUGUGACUAACAUCCACCAGCACAACUUAUCGUCAAAAAGCUGUUCUUGUUCUCCAAGUAUUUAUUGACAAAUCUAAUUUUGAAGCUAUUUUCUGCAUGCCUAAUCUUGGUGGCCUAUUGAACAUGAUUAACUUGACUCUGAUGGAAAGAGAAAAACAACCUGGAAACAUCUGGCAAAUUGUGAAGCAAUGCCUAACAUUUUUUUCCCUGUUAAAGGCAGCACAUGUCCAUGGAUUGUUGACCUUGUGAUAUGCAUCAACCCCUCUUCUGCAGCUGGAGUGUUAAAAUUGCCUGAUGUUUUCAUAUUUUAAGCACAGAAUUUUACUAAAUCUACAAAAAAAGUACCUCUGCAUGUCUACUGGCUUAUCUCCAGGGGCUUCAUUUGUUUUCUUCCGAAUGCCUUGGAGGACUAAAGGCAUUGCAUGAAUUAUCAGCAAGACUACCGGGAUAUGAACUCCAGAUGCACUCUUUGGUUGGUCACAUUCUGUACAGAAAAGAAGCAAGAAAGCAGCACAGAAUAUUGGUGAAUUUUGACAGCUUCUAAUAAGGUAUCAGACUGAAGUGAGGGUUGAACUGACAGUGCAAAGUCACUUCCACCAUUUAGGCUGAAGUGUCUGAAUUACUUUCCCUCAGUCUCUAACCCAACAAAACUGUUGAUUUCAAACAUUUCUCCCUUUCUGAUCUCACUUUUCAUCUUGAUUGAAGUAACAAGUAGGCCUUUCCAUAUCAAGUAUCCUAAUUGUAGCAUUCUUUCCCUAAGGGUAUCUGUAAUACUGCUUUUAUUGAAUGAGAGGCCUUUCUGUCCAUAUCUGUGGCUUCUCUCUCUUUAACCCCUUCUUUGCAUCCUUUUCUUCAUUUUGCUUAGGAUUUUUUGUUCACUUACAUCCUCAUUUCAUUAGUUUAUUUGUUUGGGGUUUUUUUUCCUCUCUAUUUUACAAGGAAUCAAAACAUUUGUAAUGGCAGAUGCUUUUUGGGGAAUUUACAUAAGUUCAGCAAACGCUCCACAUGCUAUCAUCUGCUCUUGAGUUCUCUGAAUUUUAUCUGUCCUUGGAGCAGUAAACUGCUCACCACCUUCUUACAGAUAAAAAUGUGAUCCUUCCUAUAUUUGUCGACUUGUGUUCAUUAUUAAAUUGUUAUAGAUGUCUAGGCAAAGAAAUCAUGGAAUCUGUGAAUCAUGGAACAUGUGAUUUACAUUUGAGAAAAGCUGUAUGGGGAAUUUAUGACAGGAUACAUUAGAUAACAGCCCAUUUUGAAAUAUUCAGAUCAGGUGACUGAUGACUGCUAAGGAUGUAGUUGGAAUGGAAACGUUUUAAGACACAGUCUCUCUGCUGUUCAAGUGCUGACAUCUAGCUUGGCGCUACACAGAAGGUCCUAGCCUCAAGCAACAGAUACCCUUGUAGCCAAAAGGGUCUACACAAUUCAUAUCAAAUUACCAAAGCUAUCUUACAGUAUAGAUCAGAAAUUACUUUUAUACAUAGCCAUUUGUUUAUAUGUUUGUCUAGGGUAAGAAAAUGGAGACCAUGACCAGCAGCCAGCAAUGGCCAUGAGAAUGGAGAUGUGGCAAAAAUCUGUGUGAAUUUCACUCUGAAUUUCACUCAGUUUUAGGAAGGGAGCCCUGGCUGAAUUUCACUCAGUUUUAGGAAGGGAGCAAAUGCAGCCCAGUGCCUGUGUGUACACUGCACUAAGAGUAGAGGUCAUGUGCAGCAUCACUUUAACACCACCACAUGAAUCCUAAAAAAAUUUCUUUGAUAUCCCAGAGGUGUAACCCAAACCUAGGGGCGCAUCUUUCUCUUCCUGAGGUGUAACUACAGUUUUCAGCCUUUUUUGUAUGAACUGGAUACAUAGUCCUGAGUAUGCUUACUUUUGCUCUAGAAAUAUAUACAAUAACAUAAAAUAAUUUUGUUUGGGCUUUAAAGUAGUUUUAAGAAUAAAAUGAAACUUUUGCAGAACUGACUUGUCUUUUUAAACUCUCUGCUUAUUUGAAAUCUCUAGUACUGUGCAAAGGGUAAGCAACACUUCUUUCCCAAUGUUUUCCCUGUCUCAAAUGGCAUUGCAAUUUAGACAAUAACAUGUGUAGCACAUGAUUAAUGAAGCUGUGCACUGAGGACAGGACAUCUGUGGGAUCACAAAGAGUUGCUUUCUGUACAUGUUACUGCAUGUUCAAGAAACUGCACAAAUUCAUAAUUUGUUAAAUUAAUUGACUUUCUCUGUGUAAUGUUAAUGUAACCUUCAGUUUGAAAAGUGCACAUAUUUGCUAGCAAGGAAAACAGGCAGGUAGUCAAAUCCCUAGAGGAUUACUUCAGUUUGCAGCUCACCACUUUGUCCUUUACCAAGGAUAUUAAUAUUUCUCAGGUGUUCUUAAAUGAAACUAAUCUUGGUGAAAAAAAAAUCAAUUUUUUAGGCCAUUUACAACUGAGUAUAAUACAGAAAAUGUCAAGCAUAAGUGUCACAGCAAUAACGAUAUCUGUUCUAUAAGGAGAUACACAGAAAUUGGGAACAGUCCAGACAACAGUGUUUUCUCUGAUCCAGCCACUGAGAAGCACAGAAAAAAGUUAGAAUCCAUCUCAAUUCAGUGAUUUCUAAAGAAAAUUUAAAUUUAUCUUUGCUAGUAUCUUUGAGCUAUUGAACUAGAAAAGUUGUUGUAGACCUGAGCACACCUGGCUGAAUUUUGAACCUUAGCACUAACUAAAAAGGAAGUGGAGGACCUGCCCUAAAAGAAGGGUAAAGAACUUUUUACACAAAAUAUAGGCCAAGUGAGAUUAGGCUGAAAAGCUGCCAUGACUUCAGAGGUGCUACACUUUUUACACCAAAGGGAAUGAAUUGCUUUGUAGGGUGAGAAGAGAAGGAUCUCUCUAAUGAAGGAAAGCACAGAAGCUAUUAUUCCAAAUUGAGAGAAGGGAAGGUAGUGCACCUGACUAGUGACUAACCUGACUUAGUCCUGUCUUCCAAAGCUCCAAAGGGUCAGAGCUCUUGCCUUCUUGUCAUCACAUCUAAAUCAAAUCUUUAAGUUAUUGCAUAGAAGUUAGGGCCUAAAACCACUUAAAUAGGAAAAUCUGCUCUUCUGUUAGAAUCAGAGGGAGAAAUUAUGGUGUACAGCAGUUCCAGUGACUGCUCAUGUUUGAUAACU